GGCUGGAGGGCGGGGCCUCCCCCGCGCUCGGGUCGGCGCGCGCUGACGUACGCACGCACGCGCUCGUGCCUCCUCCUGCGUGGCGCGGCGCGGGCGCCUCCGCAAUGGGGCUGGAGCCGAGAGGUUCCGUUUGGUGGCUUUAAAAUUCUGCUCAGCGCCCAACUUCAAAAAACAGUCAAUGACCCAUCCUUAGUCAUCAGUAAUUAAUAUCUCGACUGGGAUGAGGUGGUUAUCUGCAAGGAGCCUUGCACUUUGGAGACCUCUCCUCAUACCCGGAGCUAUUCUGUCCAGUAAUUCUCUCAGUAACAGGAAGGAAUUUGGAAGUUCAAAUGAGAACACAGCACCCCAUUUGGAAUCAGCUGUCUCUCCAAGAAGUCCUCGGAAAUGGUAUUCAGAGGGAAAUGAUAUAAAGAAAUCACAAUCUGGGCUUCUAGUUGUGCUCAUUGCUUCUCAGUCCACAUUUCUGAGCUUUUCCAAUGAAAGACAUUUUUAGAGUCAAAAUACAUCAUGAGUUUGCAUUGAUACUCUCAGUUCAAAAUCAUGAUUCCAGGCAUCAGCAACCAAAAACAAGGAAAUUACCAAAAAAGACUAGAAUUAAACAAACAACAACAAAAACCACAGGAUUAUGUCGAAAGAACUCAGAAGCCAACUUCAAGAAGUUUUCUUGUGUCAAAGAUGGCACAAUUAGAGCUCUAAAGGGAUAAUAACUAUAAGACUUGAACUGAAACAUUGGCUCUUUGAUCUCAAGCCUGCUAUCUUUCAGACUGGAACUUAUGCCAUCAGCUCUUCUGACUCUCAGGCUUUGGAACUAGGAGUGAAACUACCAUCAGCCCUUCUCCAGCUUGCUGACUGCAGAUCUUGAGACUUCUCAGCCUCCAUGAUCACGUCAAACGAAGUGAGCAUGUGGAGACAACCCCAGAUGUUUGGCUUAAAAAAAGGAAUAGAGAAAUGAAAGAGAGCUGAAGACCAAUACAGAAUCAAGUGCCUCUAAAGAGGAGUAGGGUGCACAGUAAAUUUGGAAAUAUAUGGAGUCUGAAACUAAUGGAAAAGGAACUGCAUAUAACCACUGUACUAAUUGAUAAAGUCAUUCUCCAUAAGGGGACAGGUUAACAAUUCUGAUGCAACUGUACAUAUGUUAAACAACUGAGAAGGCUCUAAAGAAACAGCAUCCCAGUAGCAGUGAGUCCAGAUCUUGGUUUCUAAUACCAUUUCCAAUGGAAGAACUUUUUUCAAGAAAUGGCUAAUUCUAGGACUAGUAAAGAAAUAUACAAGGUGAGCCUGGAACACUUUGAAGUGUGAGAGUGUUUUUGAAGUACAAAAAAUAAAAAACAAAAACAACAAAACAAUGAAACACCACAUUCAUGUAGGUCUGUCAAAGGAGCCAAAUGAAAGACCUCCCAGUGGCCAAAGAUAGACAAAUUUGAGGAAUAAAAUAAAUAAAGUAGUAUAGGGUUAUCACAAGUAUAAAAUAUUUUUGAGUCCAUUUUGGCAAAUAAAUGACUGAAUAAAUAAAUGGGGAGAUGAGACAAAUAUCCCAAAUAUCCCAUGCAGAAGAAUUCCAAAUAAUUUAUAUAGAUCCUCAAAUCUCAAGGAGAGGGAACAUAAAUUUCUACUCCUUAAAUAUGGGCUGUGCUCACUUCUUCUACAUUAUGGAAACAGAAAGCAAAGGGUAACUUCACGGUGAAGAAGCUUGACAAAUACCAUCUCAGCCAAAUAAGCAAGAUCAACAUUGUAAGUAAUAAAUCAUGGUGAUGGUAUGUAGUGUUGGUAUGAUGUGAUGAAAAUGACACUUUACCCCUGUGGUCUUCCUCCAAAAACCCAUAAUCUUCCUCCAAAAACCCUUUUCAUGAGGAAAAUAUCAGACAAAUUCCAUUAAACAGACAACCUACAAAAUACUUUACCAGUAUUCUUCAAAACUGCCAACAUCAUCAAAAACAAAGCAAGUCUGAGAAACUAUCAUAGCCAAGAGGAGCCUAAGAAGACAUGACAACUAAAUGUAAUGUGGUAUCCUGGUUAGGGUCCUGGAACAGAAAAAGAAAGUAGGUAAAAACUAAAAAACUAAGGAAAUCCAAAUAAACCAUGGACUUUAGCUAAUAAUAAUGUAUCAGUAUUGAUUCAUUAAGUGUAACAAUAUCUCAUACAAAGAUAAAUGCUAACAAUAGGGAAAACUGAGUGUGGAGGUAUAUGGGAACUUUCUGUACCAUCUGCUUAAUUUAUCUGUAAAUGUAAAACUUUUUAGAAAAUAAAAUCUAUUAAAAAAAAAAAAAAGGAAUCCUGACACCAAAUGGUAAAUCCCCAAAUAAUCAGUAUCCACUGAGCCUGUCUGAACAAUAGCAGGCAAGUUCUGUUUACUCCUGGUAUCUCAACUUACUAUCUCUUCUCACUGAUAUUCUAGAUAUACAUUUCUGUGGUCUUAUCUGAGUUUUCUGGGUGCUAUUUCCCACUCCAUACCACCUUCUCCUAAUAAAUCCCCUAAGGAGUUGCUGUAUUUUGACUCCACCACAGGCUUGGACUAGUGGCCAGCAAACCUUUCUCUUCAUUUUCCACUGUUCCCUAGAAGAGCUCUGCUUUAGUAAUUGGUGAAAUUUGCACAAUUCCAGCUUCCCUGGUGUCCAUAUGCUUGUUCCUUCCACCUGCACCUUCCUCCUAUAAUUAAUUUUCUCAUUAUUCCUACCAGAAGUCAGUCAGUGGGGAAAAAUAACCUAUCCAGAGCUAGAAUUUUUAUCAUAUAUUUCUGAGAUCCUUUAAAGAAAAAAUAUUCGCGUAUAGCCAGUUUAUUCUACAGCUAUUGAUCAAUAGAGUUUUCUACAACAGUUGAAAACACUGAGAGUUCAUUUGUUAGCUGACUAUCCUACCUAUUGUUGGGCCUGCUAGUAGGAACUCCUACUUACUGUGUUUGCGUGCUCAAAG
Long non-coding RNA from Canis lupus familiaris (dog), 2910 nucleotides. RefSeq lists it as uncharacterized. The record is from RefSeq and is a predicted model, not a curated record. Lineage: Eukaryota; Metazoa; Chordata; Mammalia; Carnivora; Canidae. The transcript has 7 exons.